UACGGGGGGGGCGAGCGUUGUUCGGAAUCACUGGGCGUAAAGGGCGCGUAGGCGGCCCGCACAAGUCUGCGGUGAAAACCCCCGGCUUAACCGGGGGCCGGCCGUGGAAACUGUCGGGCUGGAGGCUGGGAGAGGGCAGCGGAAUUCCCGGUGUAGCGGUGAAAUGCGCAGAUAUCGGGAAGAACACCCGUGGCGAAGGCGGCUCUCUGGGACGGUACUGACGCUGAGACGCGAAAGCGUGGGGAGCGAACGGG
Molecule: ribosomal RNA, 254 nt
Filed under: uncultured bacterium
Lineage: Bacteria
Description: partial 16S ribosomal RNA
Rfam family: Bacterial small subunit ribosomal RNA
Source: RNAcentral